Molecule: long non-coding RNA, 408 nt
Filed under: Pongo abelii (Sumatran orangutan)
Lineage: Eukaryota; Metazoa; Chordata; Mammalia; Primates; Hominidae
Description: lincRNA
Source: RNAcentral
AUCAAGAAGUACAUGGGGAAGCUCUUCAACAGCAGCCCGAAGAAAUCUAAAAACCACAAGAAAACUGCGAACGCCACGGACACCUCCCCAUCGAAAGCCACGAACCCCCAGUGGCUGAACACCUCGGAAUCCCGACCACCGACCUCCUCCCGGGGCCCCAGGUAGGACAACCUGGACGCUCGGCACCGAGCCAGGGGCCUCGGGGCUGGCGGCAGCUUGGGUGGUAGCGAGAGGAAGCUCCUGGGGGCGGGCAUGCGGGGAGACACAGCACCCCUGUGGGGGGCUUCUUUCUCCAGGCUGGGCCUUGGCCUCCAGACGCCUCUCCGCCCACCAACCCCUUUAUAUUGAGAGGGGCCUGGACCCCUCCUCAUCCCCUCAGUGAAAACAAUAAAGACAAAUUUUUGUUGC